CUUCUUUGCUGUACAUUUAAGAAAAUCAGAAUUUCAGUAGACUCCUCGUGCAGUCUGAGGAGGCAGUUUCCUAUCUGGUUUGACUUAAGGGGCUGCAGAAGACAUUCUUAUCCCACAUAUUUCUUCUGCUGAUCAGUCAGCAACUGAAAUUCCAACUAAUGGAUUCCAUUCUUCCAGUUAAGACAUCAUCUCCAGAAAACUGUGCUAGUUGGCAUCCAGCAGUGCCCAAGUAUUAUUUAACCCACUAGAACCUGUGACUGCAUCAGCUUUAUAUCCUGGACCUCAGCCUGGAACAAAGGAGAGCUACACUUGGAUACUAAACACAAGUGGUCUGGAUAGAUUAUGCUGGGAAAAGAAGCCUGGAGCAGGCAGUACAGUGGGAGAACAAGGCCCCCAAAAGAUGAACUCCAAUCUGCUGCCCCUAAACGCAUUCUCCACUGUCUGGAAGAUGUGCAAAGGCAACGGCACAGCGUUCUCCAUCUCAAAUCCUUCAAAGUGCUGUCAGAAUAAAAGAAUCCCCACCAAAAGCCCCAGGGAAAUCUAUCUGUCUGUAUGGUAUGGUAAUGACUGAG
Molecule: long non-coding RNA, 572 nt
Filed under: Homo sapiens (human)
Lineage: Eukaryota; Metazoa; Chordata; Mammalia; Primates; Hominidae
Description: HSALNT0336911
Source: RNAcentral